ACAGGCGAUGUAUCCAACACGACACACCUUACCUGCCUCAGACUAUACCUUACAUUUCGCAUUCAAGUGUUCAUGCUACUUGGUCAAUAUGGGAAUGAACAGAGUUGACACCAUUGUUUAUAGUUGUAUCUACAUUCAACUAUUUUUUGCAUCAAUUUGCGUUGGUACCUCGCCAUGCAUGCCUGAAACAAGCCGUUUAGGACGGUACACGGUUAGGGGAGCCGGAGGGUUCUGGUCUGAGGGAAUCCCGAACGGGUACGAGGUUGAAGUAUCAAUCAGUUGUGAUACCGGUGCGGUCCCGCAACAUUCUGUGACGUCACAAUGCUCGAACGGAGUAUGGAUCCCAGCAUGGCCUCGGUGCGAAAAACCUUGUUCGGUCCCGCGAUAUAGGUGGGAUGUUCGUCAGUUUGUAAAUGGAGACGCGAGGAAGCCAGUCAACAUAUAUCAUUCCAACGCUGUCUUACCGGACGGAUCAUUCUUAAUUGCUCGAUGCAAAGAUCCUGGAAAGAAAAUGUUGAUCGGUGAUCAACGACGAACUUGUCAAGGAGGGCAGUGGAUAGGACAAGAACCAGAAUGCCGAGAGAUACAGACCAAAGUGUUAUUCUAUGGCGCCAGUCGUGAGGUAGCUCCCAAUGGGACAGUCGUGGUGUACGUACGUCAAGGAGAUAAGAGACGUCUCGAUGUAGUUUGCAGAAUCACCGACUACAGCACGAAAUUACCUCGGUUGAGAACUCCUCUUGAGAACGAUGGAGAAUUAUGGAGCUGGCGCUGGCCCAGAUCACAUGGCAAACGGCUGAAACCUAUUUCUACCGACUUCUCUGGCAUGUUCACAUGCUCUUGGUCCUCAUAUUCCCACAGCGUUCACGUGCUCUUUAAAGCUGCCGAAUGUGAAGUUCCCGAUUUCACCGAACAUGGAGGAUAUAUAUCAGGACGUCACAUUGGGGACAUUGUUUUAAGUGGUACUACAAUCUCGUUUGGAUGCGGAGACGAUUACCGUCUAGUUGGAUCAAGGACACUCGCAUGUGCCAAUGGCAAAUGGUCAGGAGACCUUCCUUUGUGUAAAAUUAACAAAUGUCCAGAGCUGACAAUACCAAACCAUGCUUUGAUGGAGGGGGUCUAUGGCUAUGGAAGGAAUAUCGGAGAUAUAAGGAUAUUCCACUGCCAACAAGGCUACAUUCUACAAGGGGCAACCAAUAGUCUGGUCUGCCUGGAAAAUGGACAUUGGUCCGCCGAACUACCAACGUGCGAAGAAAUUUCUGUCCAUGAAGAUUCACCCGGUACAAGAUCCUGAUCAUAUUGACUCUCCUCCUGAUGUCACUGAUCUAUUAUCCUCUUCCUUUUCUUGGUAUCUCCCGAACGUUCAAACUGAACCUCCUGCUGAACCAAAUCGCCCUUCACAGCCUGCACUCGAAGACACUCCACUAGACUACUCUUCUUUUGACUCGCUGUAUGCCAG
Molecule: unclassified non-coding RNA, 1456 nt
Filed under: Lytechinus variegatus (green sea urchin)
Lineage: Eukaryota; Metazoa; Echinodermata; Echinoidea; Temnopleuroida; Toxopneustidae
Description: sushi, von Willebrand factor type A, EGF and pentraxin domain-containing protein 1-like, transcript variant X2
Source: RNAcentral